RNAcentral lists this ribosomal RNA (119 nucleotides) under Pteropus alecto (black flying fox). RNAcentral also lists the same sequence under 1 other name. The record is from RNAcentral. Lineage: Eukaryota; Metazoa; Chordata; Mammalia; Chiroptera; Pteropodidae.
GUCCACGGCCAUGCCACCCUGAAUGUGCCUGAUCCCAUGUGAUCUCGGAAGCUAAGCAGGGUUGGGCCUGGUUAGUACUUGGAUGGGAGACCACCUAGGAAGAGCAGGUGCUGUAGGUG